This 305-nucleotide ribosomal RNA is filed under the name uncultured bacterium. RNAcentral describes it as "bacterial SSU rRNA". It matches the Rfam family "Bacterial small subunit ribosomal RNA", at positions 333 to 636 of the family's 1533-position model. The record is from RNAcentral.
UGCAGCCUACGGGAGGCAGCAGUGAGGAAUAUUGGUCAAUGGGAGGAAUCCUGAACCAGCCAUGCCGCGUGCAGGACGACGGCUCUACGAGUUGUAAACUGCUUUUGUACCGGGGUAAAAUGCUCUACGAGUAGGGUUUUGAAAGUACGGUACGAAUAAGGAUCGGCUAACUCCGUGCCAGCAGCCGCGGUAAUACGGAGGAUGCGAGCGUUAUCCGGAUUUAUUGGGUUUAAAGGGUGCGCAGGCGGUCUGUUAAGUCAGCGGUCAAAGCCCGGGGCUCAACCCCGGCCCGCCGUUGAAACUGG